AGUUAAUGAACUUGUAUAGUAUAUGUUUUGAAAACAUAAUGAAGAGUAGAUUCUCUAUUAACUU
Molecule: transfer RNA, 64 nt
Filed under: Amphimallon solstitiale
Lineage: Eukaryota; Metazoa; Arthropoda; Insecta; Coleoptera; Scarabaeidae
Description: tRNA-Ser
Source: RNAcentral